CCCGGGCCCUCCUUCCUAUCAUUUUAGGCAUUUAAGUUGUUUGUUUCUACUCUAGAGGAGGGGCACUCAGCUGCAGGCUGGCAUGUACUCUUUAAGGAGGCUUCUUACGAAUUUCUAUUCUAGAGGAGAGAUGCUCGGCUACAGGCAGACGUGCUCACUUUAAGGAGGCUUCUUACGUAUUUCUAUUCUAGAGAAGAGAUGCUCAGCUACCGGCAGGUCUGCAUGCUUUAAGGAGGCUUCUUACCUGUUUCUGCUCUAGAGGAGAGGUGCUCAGCUGCAGGCAGGCAUGUGUACUUUAAGGAGGCUUCUUAAGUGUUUCUAUUCUAGAGGAGAGGUGCUCAGCUGCAGACAGGCAUGUGCGCUUUAAGAAGGCUUCUUGUUCUUAAAGCUCUUUCUAGGUGCUGCAGGCAGCUGUGCCCACACUUUCUCUCCCAGGCCUGCACCACACACUCUUUCCAAGGCAUUUUAAGGAGGCUUUCCACUUCCAGAAGCAGAUUGAAGAGACCAUACCUCAAAAGGAGCACUCUUCAGUUCGGUCUGAGGCACAAGCAGCAAAGUUAGACACAAACUUAAAGAACUAUUUGCCUGCACAGAACCAGAGGAGUGGAAGGACAGCAUGGACUGAGCAUUAGAACAUCCAGCCAGCCAGAUACUGAGUAGGGACCAUCACUCAUUGAACCUUUUCAUUAGCCACCCCAAGACUGGGAAUGCUGGAAGAGCUUCAACAAUUUAAAUCGUCUGUCAAAAUUCAAGGCACCUGUCUCUUCUGGCAAGUCUACUCAGUCAGUUUUAAUUUGUGAAUUUGAAUCUGAAUUUUAUUUGUGUGGUCUUUUGUGUAUUAUGUUAUAUGUAUUUUAAUAGGAUUGGGUUUUAUUGCUCUGUUUGAAUUCUGUUGUACCUUGCCUUGAGCCGAAAGGAGAGGCAGGCAGGCCGGCCCAUACCCAAAAAAAAAAAAAAUUGGGAGGGGUUGAAACUGUUUUUCCAAGAUGGCUUUCAGGUCAGUGUCUCCUGGAGAUCUCAACAUUAGUAUCAUUGUACAAAGGUUCUUCACAGGUAAUAGAUCCUGAAUCAUUGCUUCCUCUUUAAGUCAGUUCUUGUAGUUUAGUUUCCACAACUGGCAGAAGUUUCUUUCUGUUUUCUUCUGCUUUCUUCUUAUUUCCUUUAUUAUGAUGAUGGGUUACCUCAAAACGUUUCCCACUGUGAAUUAACAAGAAGUUUUCAGCCAAGCACACGCUGUUCUGAUGGUACUCUGUUUUUUGGUGUCUAUUGAAGACUUGUACUGCAUCUUUUCAUCACACAAAUUGUUUAGCAACCAAUGCACCAAGUUUCUGAUGAACACUUUUACCCCCAACUUCUCCUCCAAACACCACACCGUACUUACAGAGUGCACCUUGUACAUGACAUGAGUAGGCUAACCAGGGAAAUCUUGGAAGAAAAAUACAUGGGGCUACUGUUACUAAGCUUAACACUACUCACAAAGAAUAUGUGUAUCCCUCAUUUUGUUUAAAGACUGACCCAACCCAGCCUGGCUUGAUAAAAACUUACUCUAUUGGGUCUACUCUCAUUUUCCUUGGGUUCGAGCCUAGCUUUAACUGUUUGACAUUGCCAUGUUCUGUUUAAGGAGCGGGAAACUUUGGUCCUGUCUGCAGUUUAAUUAGAGCUCAACGAAUUUGCACUUCCUGAAUUGAUAGGCAAAGUAGAAUGCAGUAAUGUUUUAAUGGCCACACUUAUCGGAAUGUUACGAGGAAAUUCACUGAAGAAAGGAUAUGUACAAACAUGUAUAUUAGGGGAAAGUACUUUUUAAAAAUGUGUAUUUGUUGUGGGGUGGGCGUGGAACACAUAUAUUAUAGCAGUGCGUAAGGAAAAAUAUCUUGCUGUUAAUAUGUGUUUCGGACAAAAAUAUGUAUAUUAGACAGUAAGUGCAAAAAGAUUUUACUCAAGCAUUAGUAAAACCACAAACUCAUGACCAAAUGGAAUGGAAUGGACCAAAGAAUGGGAAAAUGAUAAACAGGGAGAAACUAAUACUGACAGAUUUCUUUCUGGUGUGCUGUUCACUUAAAUCAUAGGCUGCAGUACUUACUGUAUAUAUUCGAGUAUAAGCCUAGUUUUUCAGCCCUUUUUUUAAGACUGAAAAAGUCCCAGGUGAGGGACCUGGUUGGCUUAUAUUUGGGUCAGCUUAUACUCGAGAAUAUAUGGUACAUUUAUUAUUUUUCUCAAUUAUUAUUGGUAUUAUUACAUUUAUUAUUUUUCUCUAUUAUUGUUGCUACUAUUACAUUUAUUUUACUCUAUUUUUUAUUAUUAGUAAUACAUUUAUUAUUUCACUCUGAUCUUAUUAUUAUUAUUACAUUUAUCAUUUUACUCUAUUUAUUAUUACAUGUAUUAUUUUCCUGUAUCAAUUAUUAUUAUUAAUAUUAUUACAUGUAUUAUUUUACUCUAUUAUUAUUAAAAGGAUACAUAAACACAUUUAAACUGAAGAAGAUGAGAAUAAUGAUUUAAUCAGAGUUGGACAGUGUUAUCUUAAAUUUGAACUUUAUGUAAAUAUUCAAAAACAUUUAACCUACUGAUGCCUCAAUUAAUGUAAUGUUAUUGGUAUCUAUUUUUAUUUCCAAAAUUUACCACUCUCGGCUUAUACUUGAGUCAAUGUUUUCCCAGUUUUUUUAUGGUAAAAUUAGGUGCCUCGGCUUAUAUUCCACAAAUUAUGUUGAAUUGGUCUAGACUGUGAGAUAUUCAUUGAAAAACUAUAGCAAAAUGUGCUGCAGAAUGUACCACAUAAACAAAGUAUUUGCAGUUUAAUAAACAUUUUUCCAUGUUUUUAAUAUAAUGACAUUUAUAACCCAGGAGCAAAAAUCGUGUUACGUAAUAUAAUGUUCUGAUCUUUGCUAAUCAAAGUAACAGGGAGCUUCAAUACAGUGAGUACUGACAAAUACACCACAAUUCUUAGCUACCGUGUUCCCCCCAAAAUAAGACAGUGUCUUAUAUUAAUUUUUGCUCCCAAACAUGUGCUAGGUCUUAUUUUUAGAGGAUGCCUUAUUUUUCCAUGAAGAAAAAUUCAUAUUUAUUAUGUACUGUACAGUAGUUGUCAUUACAAA
Molecule: long non-coding RNA, 3089 nt
Filed under: Anolis carolinensis (green anole)
Lineage: Eukaryota; Metazoa; Chordata; Lepidosauria; Squamata; Anolidae
Description: lncRNA (ENSACAG00000030170.2)
Source: RNAcentral